Molecule: unclassified non-coding RNA, 22 nt
Filed under: Mus musculus (house mouse)
Lineage: Eukaryota; Metazoa; Chordata; Mammalia; Rodentia; Muridae
Description: oocyte_clustered_small_RNA14020
Source: RNAcentral
CGGGAACCUGGAAGUAGGAGCU